UUUCUCCCAGAGCGCGAGGAGCCAUGC
This 27-nucleotide small RNA is filed under the name Bombyx mori (domestic silkworm). RNAcentral describes it as "ovarian small RNA-38353". The record is from RNAcentral. Lineage: Eukaryota; Metazoa; Arthropoda; Insecta; Lepidoptera; Bombycidae.